This 192-nucleotide small nuclear RNA is filed under the name Polymyxa betae. It matches the Rfam family "U2 spliceosomal RNA". Rfam says of the family: U2 is a small nuclear RNA (snRNA) component of the spliceosome (involved in pre-mRNA splicing). Complementary binding between U2 snRNA (in an area lying towards the 5' end but 3' to hairpin I) and the branchpoint sequence (BPS) of the intron results the bulging out of an unpaired adenosine, on the BPS, which initiates a nucleophilic attack at the intronic 5' splice site, thus starting the first of two transesterification reactions that mediate splicing. Lineage: Eukaryota; Endomyxa; Phytomyxea; Plasmodiophorida; Plasmodiophoridae. The record is from RNAcentral.
CAACCUUCUCGGCCUUUUGGCUAAGAUCAAGUGUAGUAUCUGUUCUAGAACUCGUGACAAAGUUCUUGUCUCCACUGGGGACACUGUUCACGAUUAUUUUUGUCGCCUGACUGGUCGGGGCUCUGGCUUGCCAUCCCUGCUGGUCGCACGUGACCUCUGUAUUGCACUACAGCAGAGCGUUGCGGGUGCCAC